GGGCGCAAGCCUGAUGCAGCGACGCCGCGUGAGGGAUGGAGGCCUUCGGGUUGUAAACCUCUUUUAUCGGGGAGCAAGCGAGAGUGAGUUUACCCGUUGAAUAAGCACCGGCUAACUACGUGCCAGCAGCCGCGGUAAUACGUAGGGUGCAAGCGUUAUCCGGAAUUAUUGGGCGUAAAGGGCUCGUAGGCGGUUCGUCGCGUCCGGUGUGAAAGUCCAUCGCUUAACGGUGGAUCCGCGCCGGGUACGGGCGGGCUUGAGUGCGGUAGGGGAGACUGGAAUUCCCGGUGUAACGGUGGAAUGUGUAGAUAUCGGGGAGAACACC
Molecule: ribosomal RNA, 325 nt
Filed under: uncultured bacterium
Lineage: Bacteria
Description: bacterial SSU rRNA
Rfam family: Bacterial small subunit ribosomal RNA
Source: RNAcentral